AUUGAACGCUGGCGGCAGGCUUAACACAUGCAAGUCGAGCGGGGUGAUGGUGCUUGCACUAUCACUUAGCGGCGGACGGGUGAGUAAUGCUUAGGAAUCUGCCUAUUAGUGGGGGACAACAUCUCGAAAGGGAUGCUAAUACCGCAUACGUCCUACGGGAGAAAGCAGGGGAUCACUUGUGACCUUGCGCUGAUAGAUGAGCAUAAGUCGGAUUAGCUAGUUGGUGGGGUAAAGGGCUACCAAGGCGACGAUCUGUAGCGGGUCUGAGAGGAUGAUCCGCCACACUGGGACUGAGACACGGCCCAGACUCCUACGGGAGGCAGCAGUGGGGAAUAUUGGACAAUGGGGGGAACCCUGAUCCAGCCGUGCCGCGUGUGUGAAGAAGGCCUUAUGGUUGUAAAGCACUUUAAGCGAGGAGGAGGCUCUUUUGGUUAAUACCCAAGAUGAGUGGACGUUACUCGCAGAAUAAGCACCGGCUAACUCUGUGCCAGCCGCCGCUGUAA
This 503-nucleotide ribosomal RNA is filed under the name uncultured bacterium. RNAcentral describes it as "partial 16S ribosomal RNA". It matches the Rfam family "Bacterial small subunit ribosomal RNA", at positions 30 to 523 of the family's 1533-position model. The record is from RNAcentral.